Molecule: long non-coding RNA, 1640 nt
Filed under: Neodiprion lecontei (redheaded pine sawfly)
Lineage: Eukaryota; Metazoa; Arthropoda; Insecta; Hymenoptera; Diprionidae
Description: uncharacterized LOC124295277
Source: RNAcentral
CAUACGUGUGCUCUUCGGAUAACGAAAGAGGCAUAGGGAAAGAAAUUUUUCAAAAAUCGAACGACGAGACGAUACACGUUUUAGGUGAAAUUAAAUUUAACCAAAAUGAUGGUAAAGGAAAACGAAACGACGGAGUGAAGGAAACGAGAAUACAUUUUUUUUAACGACAAUUUUCGGAGGCUAUAAUAUCUAACGAUAAGUAAGGAUCUCGUGCAUACGAUAUGCAUACACCUCUAUUAAGACGUUAAGAUGAGUAUAAGAAAUUAAUUAAUCAACUAACGAAAAAUUGUUGUAAUCACGUAAGUUUCAGGGUGACAGGGGGGGAGAGAUCCUGAGGUAUUAAUGAAUUUUAAAGGGGGAAAAAAAGAAACGACGAAAUCACGCUGGUGGUGAAAAAAAAAGGGAAAAUUCUUGUCCGAAAAUUGAUUAAACGCGGCGUCUGAGUGAUAAUUAUUAAUAAUACAUACUCAAGUAGCUAUUGGUGACUGCGCGCGGCGUUCGAACGUUUAAAAAAAUUAACGACUCUCUGCAAGUUGGAACAAAAAAUAGAAAAGAGAUAAGAGAGCGUGAGAGAAGAAAAAAAUUACAAGAAAAAAAAAAAACCGCCUCCAAAAUUACCCUGAAAAAUGAUGAAGGAAAAAAAAUGAUACAUACAUAUAUAUGUGUAUAUAUAUAUAUAGGUAUUUCCAUAGACUUUGUCGUGAUUAUUGUAAUAAUUAUUAUUAAUGUCAUGAUUAUAUUUUGAAUUAUAUAUUUUCAUCAUAUUGUAUAACAUUCAUGAUCGUCACGUCGUUAGUUUGUUGAAAAAAUUUAUUUUCGUUCGUCAUUUCCCGCGGUAUAAAUUAUGUAUAAUAAUAUAAAUCCUUCGAAUGUGCAAUCUACAUUUUGGCAUAUAUGUGAGAUAUAAUUGCACCGGAUCUAUCGCACAAAAAAAAAAAUAAAAAUAUUUUUGGCAUUUAGGUAUAAUACAUAUUCUAUAAAUUUCGACUGUUGGGUAGUGGGGACAAAAAGUUUAAGAAAAUUUUUAAAAUGUAAGAAAUUAAAGUAAAUUGAAAAUUUUCGACGAGUCAAAUUUUGUAAAAUGUAUCGCGAGGAAUUAUUGUUACAAUAUAUUAUCAUUAAAUUUAGGAUAUAUUCACUAUUCAUAUCGAACGACGAUAUAUAUAUAUAUAUGUAUAUAUAUAUAUAUAAUAUAUACAAUUAACGAGUAAUAUAAGAAAUUUGAAAUUCGAUGAACAAAAGUAAGGUAGUAAAAGAAAAGAAAAAAUAUGAAAAAAAAAGAAAACACCGAACGGCCUCGUGAAAAAAAAAAUGAGAGGUUAUUAUAAGAUUUGCUCGGGCCGCCGCAAUUGCUGCUGAACGCGUGUAGAAAAAGAAAAAAGCAAAAGACAAAAAAAAAUCAGAUGAUGGAAAAAAAAAUUUAAUAAUAAUAAUAAUAAUAAUAAUAACAAUAACAAUAGUAAUACUAUUAACGAUAAUAUUUAAAAUAUAUGGCUACAAGUACAAAUUACUUCGAUUACGGAGACGUAGGUGUGUAUAUUGAUGUGUGAAAACAAAAGACAAAAAAAAAACCAAAAAAAAAACAAACAAAAAUAAAAACCAUAAGUUAGAAGAAGAAGAAAGAUUGAACUAACGAAUAA